UGGCCAGACUCCUACGGGAGGCAGCAGUGAGGAAUAUUGGUCAAUGGGCGCGAGCCUGAACCAGCCAAGUAGCGUGAAGGAUGACUGCCCUACGGGUUGUAAACUUCUUUUAUAAAGGAAUAAAGUGAGGCACGUGUGCCUUUUUGUAUGUACUUUAUGAAUAAGGAUCGGCUAACUCCGUGCCAGCAGCCGCGGUAAUACGGAGGAUGCGAGCGUUAUCCGGAUUUAUUGGGUUUAAAGGGUGCGUAGGUGGUUAAUUAAGUCAGCGGUGAAAGUUUGUGGCUCAACCAUAAAAUUGCCGUUGAAACUGGUUGACUUGAGUAUAUUUGAGGUAGGCGGAAUGCGUGGUGUAGCGGUGAAAUGCAUAGAUAUCACGCAGAACUCCGAUUGCGAAGGCAGCUUACUAAACUAUAACUGACACUGAAGCACGAAAGCGUGGGGAUCAAACAGGAUUAGAUACCCUUGUAAA
RNAcentral lists this ribosomal RNA (469 nucleotides) under uncultured bacterium. RNAcentral's name for it is "bacterial SSU rRNA". It matches the Rfam family "Bacterial small subunit ribosomal RNA", at positions 328 to 794 of the family's 1533-position model. The record is from RNAcentral.